GUGCUCACUUUAGAAGCACAUUUACUAAAGCUGUUACAACACAGAGAAGAUUAGCAUGGCCCCUGUGCAUAGAUGUCAUGCAAAUUCAUGAAGCAGUCCACAUUUUU
This is a small nuclear RNA of Ochotona princeps (American pika), 107 nucleotides long. The record is from Ensembl. NCBI's taxonomy places the organism in Eukaryota, Metazoa, Chordata, Mammalia, Lagomorpha, Ochotonidae.